GCAAGUCGAGCGCACCCUUCGGGGCGAGCGGCGGACGGGUUAGUAACGCGUGGAAACGUACCCUUCUCUAAGGAAUAGCCACUGGAAACGGUGAGUAAUACCUUAUACGCCCUUCGGGGGAAAGAUUUAUCGGAUUUGGAUCGGCCCGCGUUAGAUUAGAUAGUUGGUGGGGUAAUGGCCUACCAAGUCUACGAUCUAUAGCUGGUUUUAGAGGAUGAUC
RNAcentral lists this ribosomal RNA (220 nucleotides) under uncultured bacterium. RNAcentral describes it as "partial 16S ribosomal RNA". It matches the Rfam family "Bacterial small subunit ribosomal RNA", at positions 57 to 305 of the family's 1533-position model. The record is from RNAcentral.